ACAUUAGUGCUAAAAGUUCUUCACCAUGAAGCUGAUAUUCGCUUUGAUUUGCUCUUUGCUUUGGCACUUGGUAAUCCCACAGGCUACAAAUGAUCAGAUUUUGAGGGAAAUUUGUAGAUCUGGCGACAGGCGUGGAAUUUGUGAUCCCGCUUAUUCAUUUUACUAUGAUAUAAAAACAAGACAGUGUUAUAUGUCCAAGUUAGAUGGGUGUUUAUAUUUUGCCUAUAAAAGUAAAUGUGAAAAAGAUUGUAAUCGUGUGCUAAGCAGGCUGUAUUAAAGAUGUGAUAUGUAUCAGCAUGA
Drosophila hydei is the source of this 300-nucleotide long non-coding RNA. RefSeq lists it as uncharacterized. The transcript is spliced from 2 exons. The record is from RefSeq and is a predicted model, not a curated record. Lineage: Eukaryota; Metazoa; Arthropoda; Insecta; Diptera; Drosophilidae.